AUAAAUGACUCUCGGCAACGGAUA
RNAcentral lists this ribosomal RNA (24 nucleotides) under Paranephelius ovatus. RNAcentral describes it as "partial 5.8S ribosomal RNA". Lineage: Eukaryota; Viridiplantae; Streptophyta; Magnoliopsida; Asterales; Asteraceae. The record is from RNAcentral.